GAUGAACGCUAGCGGCAGGCUUAACACAUGCAAGUCGAGGGGCAGCAUACCCGGUGACGGGUGAUGGCGACCGGCGGAAGGGUGAGUAACGCGUGAGCAACAUACCCGUAUCAGUGGGAUAAUACAGGGAAACUUGUUCUAAUAUCACAUAAUAUUAUUCAGAGGCAUCUUUGGAUAAUUAAAGUUCAGGCGGAUACGGAAUGGCUCGCGUGACAUUAGCUAGAUGGUAGGGUAAAGGCCUACCAUGGCUAUGAUGUCUAGGGGUUCUGAGAGGGAGGUCCCCCACACUGGAACUGAGACACGGUCCAGACUCCUACGGGAGGCAGCAGUGAGGAAUAUUGGACAAUGGAUGAAAAUCUGAUCCAGCCAUGCCGCGUGCAGGAAGGCGGCCCUAUGGGUUGUAAACUGCUUUUGUACGGGAGCAAUAAGGUCUACGAGUAGAUUGAUGAGAGUACUGUACGAAUAAGCAUCGGCUAA
This 477-nucleotide ribosomal RNA is filed under the name uncultured bacterium. Its description in RNAcentral is "bacterial SSU rRNA". It matches the Rfam family "Bacterial small subunit ribosomal RNA", at positions 28 to 500 of the family's 1533-position model. The record is from RNAcentral.